Delphinapterus leucas (beluga whale) is the source of this 1151-nucleotide non-coding RNA. Lineage: Eukaryota; Metazoa; Chordata; Mammalia; Artiodactyla; Monodontidae. The record is from RefSeq and is a predicted model, not a curated record.
CUUGGCCUUUUUCUCCUUCUCUUUCUUCCCCUUCUUGUCUUCUUUACUGUAGGGACACAAAGGCCCCAGACCACAAUAAGAAACAGAGUCACUCCCAUUUAACGAACACUUACCUGUGCCAGGUCUUAUGAUGAGCGCUUUACAGAAAGAAUCUUUGCUGAAUCUUCAAAACAGCCCUAACAAGGCAGCCUUGUUAUUUCCAUUUCACAAAGGCAGAAACUAAGGGUCAAUUGUCCCAUGGAAGGAUGGGUGGAUGGGAGGAAGGAAGGAAGGAAGGAUGGAUGGAUGGGUGGAUGCAUGGAUGGAUGGGUGGAGGAGGAAUGAAUAAGGCAGGGAGGAAACUACAAAUUAGGAGCACCUGUGGGAUCUGGAACCUCCAGCACAUCCUGGGAGUAGGAAUCACAUUUUACUGGGCCUGAGCUGGGUCGUAGACAAAGCACAGUCUGGCCCACGCCUGUCCCUCAGGCAUCUUGGGCUCAGCUGAGAAUCUCCCAGCCAGGAUAGUGUCCUCCCAGCUCCUGAGCUCCUACUUCUGUCCCCAAGCCUUUGCCCAAAUUGGGAUCUUGCCCUGAAAGAGCCCCCAGCCCUGCCCACAUCCCUGAGCCAGGAUCAUGGGAGACGCUGAACCCAGAAGAGUUACCCACACCAAAUCACACACUUCUGCACAGUCCCUACACAAUCCCACACCACGGUCUUGUUCGACAGGUAUUUAUUAAGUGCGUACUGUGUGCCAGGCCCUGGGGCCAGAGCCAGGACCAAAGCUAAGUUCUGUUCACUUACUGGAAGCCACUAUCUAGUGUCGAGAAACCGGUAAAUGACUAAGAUAAUUUCAGCUGAUGAUACAUGCAAAGACGGAUGCAGGGUUGUGGCGGAGAGAGUGUCAGGAAGGCUGGUGGUCAAGGUGGGUUUCUGUGAGGAAGAAACAUCUGAGCAGGGACUGGAGGAGAGACGGAGCCAGCCAGAAGAUAUGACGAAAGGUGUACAAAGUAGAACCAACGAUACGGUUGGCCAGCAUGAGGAUGAAGACGAUGAACAGGAACCCCACGACAGCAGCCAGGCCCACCAGCCAUGGCUUCAGAUGACGCUCUGAGGCUGUUAGGAGCUUUUGGGAUCUUAGUUCCCUGACCAGGGAUUGAACCCGCGUCCCAGGC